ACGCACAGCUGGGUGAGGUGUUAUUUACAGAAAUAGCAGCUGUUUAUUUGGUCUUUUAAGCUCUCACGAGGAUGAGUUGACUCACUCUGGUUGUUAGGAGAACCCAGCGGACCAGAUGAUGAUCCUGCUUUCAGGAGUGACACAUCCUACCCGUGCACUCUGGACAAGCCUUUGGAUGUCACCACCUCUGUCUGGGCUACAAGCUAUUGGCAAGUCUUCCAGCUGAAAGUCCCAGUUGCACAGUCCCAAGGCGCUCCACAGCAUUCCCAGGUCGCCGACAGUUGACUCCAGAGACUGCUUGCUUCCAAGCCAGACUGUUGGAGACUCCGUGAUGUUCCAAGAUGCCUGGAGUAAUAAGCGACAGAGGACGUAGAAUGUAGGCUUUGACUCAGUACCUAUCUCAGAGGGUUCCUGGGAAGAUGAAUCAAGUCAAUACCCGGAAAGUACAUGGAAUGGUGCCUGGUUCAGAGAUUCUCUUGGUAAACAUGUGGCAAACGUCCAAUGACUCUAACUUUCUAAAUUUGAGAAAUGAUUUUUCAAAGAGCAUUUCUAGCACCCGAGUAAGCAGACUCCUGUGACUCAUAAAAGAUCAUUGAUAUAUGUGCAUCCAAGAUGGAUGAGAUUGCAAGUGUUUAACUGCUAUGCUCAAGCCCCCCGGUACAUAGUUGUAUAUUCUUCGUUGUGGGUCCUUCUAGUUGUGGCAUGUGGGAUGCUGCCUCAGCGUGGUUUGAUGAGCAGUGCCAUGUCCGCGCCCAGGAUUCGAACCGACGAAACACUGGGCCGCCUGCAGCAGAGCGCGCGAACUUAACCACUCGGCCACAGGGCCAGCCCCAAAAACUGGCUUUUAAAAAAAGGGAAGAACCAAGCGUUUAUUCUGUCUUUCUCAUAUGAACUGUCCUACUGGGUAACAAAUAGUAGUUGAGAAGCAUGUCUUCAUAAAGAGUAUUCCAAUAAAGAAAUAAAAAGAACUGACAUAAUUAUAAUAUCACCAUUUUGCAAUACACGUGGAAUAUAGAUCUAGGCAUUGAGCUGCUGUCA
Molecule: long non-coding RNA, 1038 nt
Filed under: Equus asinus (donkey)
Lineage: Eukaryota; Metazoa; Chordata; Mammalia; Perissodactyla; Equidae
Description: lncRNA (ENSEASG00005030183.1)
Source: RNAcentral